AAAACUUACCGUGUUUCGUAUAAUUUUAUUUUUCAUAAAUCACAAUAUUCUAAGUUCUGUAUUCUGAAGCGUUUCCUCAUGGGCGUCGGCAGUUCACGUCACGGAUUCCGCCGAAAGAGUCGAUAAUUAAAAUCAUAAAGAUACUAGUAUUGUAUACUAGAUAAGUUUCAAUUAGCGAGAUGUAGAGAGAGAUGGAGAUGGAACGAGAUGUAGACGGAUGAAGAUAGCUGUUUCUUCGACGACAACGUGUGCUGCAGUACACCUAGGUUUCACUGGAAGAGUCGAUGUUUAUGCAAAUGGUAUUCGUCAGUGAACAUUUUCAAACUGGGAAUAAUACAUCAUAAGCAGAUUGAAAUGUGUGAACGUUUCAGUGUUCCGAAGACUAAGUUUCGUAGCAGAUUUUGAUUCCGUCACAGGGUUUACUCCGUCGUCAAACCCGUUGCCAUUCAUGGAAUUUACUUCUCAACAAGGAAAGACAAACUUCUUUGAAAGAAGACUAAGUGAACACCAAUUACCUUCAGUUGUACUCUGAAUCAUGUUUGUGAAUAAAAUUAUUUGUCAAAGACUUAUUCAUAAUAUUAUAAGAAAACUUUAUUUUUAAAUUUUAUAAUUGAAGUGAAAAGUAUUAAAAAUCUUA
Metopolophium dirhodum (rose-grain aphid) is the source of this 637-nucleotide long non-coding RNA. RefSeq lists it as uncharacterized. NCBI's taxonomy places the organism in Eukaryota, Metazoa, Arthropoda, Insecta, Hemiptera, Aphididae. The record is from RefSeq and is a predicted model, not a curated record. The transcript has 4 exons.